GCUCACUGCAACCUCCACCUCCCAGGUUCAAGCAGUUCUCUGCCUCAGCCUUCUGAGUAGCUGGGAUUAUAGGUGCCCACCACCAUGCCUGGCUAAUUUUUGUAUUUUUAGUAGAGACGGAGUUUCAUCAUCUUGGCCAGGCUAGUCUUGAACUCCUGACCUCGUGAUCCACCUGCCUCGGCCUCCCAAAGUGCUGGGAUUACAGGCGUGAGCCACCGAGCCCAGCCCAACAAGAUAUCUUCUUGAGGGAACCUUCUGGAAGCCCUGACUGCCUUGCUGUAAGGUCGGCUGAAUGGAAAGAGACAAAGGCUGUUGGCCCUGAUAACAGAGGACAUGGAGAACACUGACGGGCCAGCACAGAGAGGUGUCAAACCUACAUUGCAGCCUGAAGGAUGUCUUCACUUCCUCCUGCUCCUUCGCCUUGUAUCCUUCAUAGAUUUUUCCCGCAAUAAAACUUUGCA
RNAcentral lists this long non-coding RNA (461 nucleotides) under Homo sapiens (human). Its description in RNAcentral is "HSALNT0089348". The record is from RNAcentral. Lineage: Eukaryota; Metazoa; Chordata; Mammalia; Primates; Hominidae.